Molecule: long non-coding RNA, 2769 nt
Organism: Nematostella vectensis (starlet sea anemone)
Lineage: Eukaryota; Metazoa; Cnidaria; Anthozoa; Actiniaria; Edwardsiidae
Exons: 2
Source: RefSeq, a predicted model, not a curated record
UGAUCUGAUACUGAAAAUACACAUACAUCAGUGAAGACGCAACUAACAUCGACGUCCUUGAUUUUCUAAUCCGCAUUGCGCUAGAGCUUCCCCAGAUACAAAUCCUCAUAAACAAACAAACAAUGGCAUUCCUAAAGUCGAUGACAUUAACUCUGAUAUUACUGUAUUAUUGCUGAGGGAGUGAGGUGUAACGGGUGUAGCGAGGUUUCACUUGACUGGGAAUAUUAUUAUCGAGAGGGCUAACCGCGAGCUUUCAGACCAUAACGAUAUGAAAAGGAAGGAAAUUGCUUAUUCAAAGGUGAAUUAUGUCGCUGCUUUCCUGUCAUGCAUUCAAGUGGAGUCGUGCUUUAGAGCAUUGAAAGAAAGAAAACAUAGAAUGAUAAAACUUAUCUUAAAGAUUUCCUCGAGAUUUCAUUAUUAUUAUUUUUUGCCCUUUAGAAUAUCGACAGAUUACAGAUUUGUACAAACUUCAACAAUUUUUGGGGGCCAUUCCCAUGAUUAAUUUUACAGUUUUCAACUGUAUCGUUUAGCGGACGAGAUUUAACAUAAUUUUAGUCGCAAAUGAAAAGAAACAGAAAAAUGACCUGGGGCUUUUUUGGAUAAAGUUGCUUUUUGAAUAGCGUUGUACAAAGCCGACACUAUAAGCUUAUUACUCUCCAUACAUAAGGAAUAUUUCCUUUUUCGUCACUUUGGUUGACGAGCUUACGUGCUUGAAUGUGUCAAAAACUCGACUUUUCUAGCGAUAUUAUUAUUGUUACCUUACAUUAUGUAGUACUACUUAAAUGAGCAAAGGUGUUUUGGAUGAAAAAGUGUAAAUAUUCUGCAAUUUUUCAUUAAAAUAGCUCCUAUGAAAGCGUUAUAUAUGGUUCAUUUAGACACUUGUCACCCAAGUGUGUUGAGGAGUCUGGUUUUGGAGCUGUUUGCUGUGAAUCCGCGUAACUUAUUAUACACCUGCAUGAUAUUGAAUGAAAAUAUAUUCAGGCUCCUCGAUGCUGUUUGUUUAUGCAAAAGCACUUGUUCAUACUGGAUUGAUGCUCCUAUAUUUUUGGCCCUAAAUGACUUUAUCAUUUGCUCGGAUAAGUGUUUCUUUCACACAGAAGAUAAAGACUGGUGAUGGAGUAUUUUUUGAUUGGCCAAUUGCAAUGGUUUCAAGUGCUUGUUCAGGAUCGUUAUAACAUCAAUUCUUUAAAGUAAUACAACGCGCUGCAACAUGGAAUUUGUUGAAUGGACGCGACAGCUGACUGACGUAAUUAUUUUGGUGGUCGACCAUUUGAACCGGGCCAACUGUGUGGAGAAAGAAUCGCAACAAUUUUGAAAAUGAAGGCAUCUUAUUAUCGGAGCUAUAAUCUCGGCGACUCAAAGUCUCUUAUAGUUACCUCUAAGCAUCAUCUAAAAAUCGUCCGCCAAGGUUCCGGGCACGUCCGUGUUGAUUUACUUAUUUUUAUUAUUUUGGCAUCAAAGAUCACCUGAAACGAUUACACGUCAUUCAUCAAAUUCAAAAUGUUUAUUAGAUCUAUCAUUUUCAGUCGUAUUGAUUCAAGGCAUCGCCGUGAGUCAUAGAUAAGCAAUGACCUAGAUGUAUCUUUUUAUAUUUUUUGCGCGAUGCUAGACGCUUUGAAUUCCCUGUAGAAGUUUUAUUCUGAUAAAAUUGUUGUGGUAUUUUUCGCUCUCGCAGAUUUCAUCAACUCUAGAUGUUACCGCGCGGUGAGCGAUUUUCAGUGGAUGUGGGUGUUUCCGUUUUGGAAAUGUAAAAAGCCUAGGAUUCCCCUUGAACUAAUUACUAUUUGUACCGCCGUGACACACGCAAUUUCCGCGUUCUGGUAUGGUUUUUCGCCAUGGAAACUUUGCUUAUGUUUGUGUACACAGAUGUUCUAGCAUAGUGCAUGCUUUUAAAGGGAAGUUCGAUCGACUUUAUAUGAGCGUCAUCGUGUGAUUAAGAGCCUGCGUAAUUUCUGUAAUCGUGCCCAUCUAAAAUCUUGAAAGGUCAAGUUUUUUCUUGUUGUCUUGAAAUAUCAAUUUGGGGUAGGUCUGGAUUUUUCCUAUAACUUGUAUACCCUCCUUCCCCUCAUAAGAGGAAGGGUAGGGAAGAUUUAUCUGACGAUAAGGCGGAUAGGACUCGGAACUCGAAUUUUAACUCUUGAGAUCUCCGUCUUGAGAUCUCCGUUCGGGAUGGGUCGGGGUUUUCCCUGUAUCUCAGGAAAGAUAGGGAAUUUUACACUACCCUUGAAAACAGCGGAAGGUAUUGAAAAUUUGGCGGGGUUUUCCCCUGUCCUCUUUCGGACAUUUUAUAUAUAUAUUUUUUUUAGAAUAGAGAGGCAUAACUUCGCAGCGUAUUUGCUGUUCUCUUUGUUCAAGCGAUCGCAAGAUUAGAAAAAUAAGAUUUCAAGGGAUUUGUGUUUAUCUGCAAGUUAACGAUAUCAAGUUAACCAAUCCGUUUUAAAGAACGCCAGGCAGUCCAUGUAAACUCCUUCCUUCCUUUGACUAAAGAUAAAAAAUCUAACUUACUGACAGGCAGUGAUAAAAUAUUAAUAAUAAUAAUAAUGAUAUUUCGAAAAAAAGUGCUAUCAAUCCUUUAAAAAGCAAGCGGCAUGAGAUUCUUUUUCACAUUUUCAAUGUCUUCCAGAGCGCUGUUAUAACUUAUACUACUACUACUAUAGCUGAAAAUCUAAUUUCAAUCGAAUCGCGUGUUUCUCAUAAGCACAUAGAAAAGAAGCGAGGAUAAGUAAACAGAACUGUAAAGAAUAAUGUAAUAAAAAGGUUUUAACUCAA